RNAcentral lists this ribosomal RNA (358 nucleotides) under Globisporangium ultimum. RNAcentral's name for it is "SSU rRNA". It matches the Rfam family "Eukaryotic small subunit ribosomal RNA", at positions 20 to 378 of the family's 1831-position model. Lineage: Eukaryota; Oomycota; Peronosporomycetes; Pythiales; Pythiaceae. The record is from RNAcentral.
GUAGUCAUACGCUUGUCUCAAAGAUUAAGCCAUGCAUGUCUAAGUAUAAACAAUUUUGUACUGUGAAACUGCGAAUGGCUCAUUAUAUCAGCUAUAGUCUACUCGAUAGUACCUUACUACUUGGAUAACCGUAGUAAUUCUAGAGCUAAUACAUGCACAAAUACCCAACUGCUUGUCGGACGGGUAGCAUUUAUUAGAUUGAAACCAAUGCAGUCUUCGGGCUGGUAUUGUGUUGAGUCAUAAUAACUGUGCGGAUCGCACUCAGUGCGAUAAAUCGAUUGAGUUUCUGCCCUAUCAGCUUUGGAUGGUAGGAUAUGGGCCUACCAUGGCAUUAACGGGUAACGGGGAAUUAGGGUUU